Molecule: long non-coding RNA, 231 nt
Filed under: Homo sapiens (human)
Lineage: Eukaryota; Metazoa; Chordata; Mammalia; Primates; Hominidae
Description: HSALNT0314182
Source: RNAcentral
UUUUUCGCCCCGCCCUUCAAAUGCGAAAGCGACUGCCUUCUUGGUCCAAGCACAAAUGUGGAUCACUGAACACAGUACUGGAAGCGCCAUUUGCAGGGAAUCUACAAACCAGUAUCACAUUUAGGAGUCAAAGUGUUAAUUCUUCAGCAUUCCUGACAACUAGAAAGCACAUUCACUGAAGGCUGAAGGAGCCUCACACUGUUGGAAGAUGUACUGCUGCUGGUUAAGGUC